AUGGUUUUGAUUUUAAACAGGAAAUUCAGACCAUACUAUGCACAAACUCUGAGUUUCCCAGUGAUAAGUUUCUCAGGAAAAUUUAGUCCUUUUGAGCCCCUCAUUCCUCGGCAGUCUGGUAAAAGCAAGGAUGUAGAUUCCAGCAAGGACAAUUUCAGGAAGAAAGAACAAGCGACUAGCAGCUGCCAUAAUUUGCAAGCACCACGUACUGCAAGUGCCACACGCAGAGGCCUAACUAAGAAAAGUUCAGGCUAUUGUGAGUGCUGCAACAUUGUCUACAAAGACCAGUAUGAGCACUUGGAGUCUGAAAUGCAUCGUUCUUUCAUUCAAAAUGACAGUAACUAUGCUGUAGUAGACCAACUAACAGCUGCCAUGGUUGCUAGCUUUGUUUGUAAACCAAAUCUAGAAGUGGAUCCAACGCUGAUCAAGUCAUCAACAGGAUUCUCUCAAUUACAAUUGAGUAACUUGACUCCAAUGGUGGAGAGUUCUGUCAGCGAGAAUGAAAAAUCUCUUCAGACUACACUUGUUCAAGAAUGUGAUAGUCUACUGGCAAAUGCUGACAACAGAGGACACCCCUUUCCUAAACCUAUCCAAAAUAUGCCUGGUCAACAACAUACAACCUUGCAUCAUACAAUGCAAAACAACUCUCCUGAUCCUCUUGAAAAUGUCAAAUUAGGCCUUUACAUCAGCUGUACCUCAAAGGUUCAGGACUUUCAAUCUGGUGUUUUCUGCAUGGAUAUAGUCCCACAUCACAGUCCUCCAAAAUCCCAGUCAAUAGAGAAGAAACCCAAGAGACUAUCUUCUGUCACACCCUCAGAAGCUCGAUCUAAAAUGCUCACUCUAAGCUCUUCUGUAGACAACAAAAUCCCACGCACCAUCACUGGUGGUAAAAAUCUUCCUGAAACUCAGGAACGAUGUGAAGGUGGUCAAGUUCUACAUGUAUUGCAUAUGCAAAGUGGUCUUAUAGGUGGUGUUCCUAACACAUUCAACUCUCAAAAUCAAAAACAUGAUUGGGAUCAAGGUUUAAAAAUAUUCUCAAACACAACUAAGAUGCUACUCCAGCAAGGUGAAGAUGGUAAUUCUGAAAGUUGUGGCCAGUAUGCGUUGGACCAUAGAAAGCUGCCUUCAACAAAACCAUCACUGAAAUCAGUCAAACAUAUUGUUGGGACUCCAGAGUUUGGAAUCUCUUACUUUUCAUUACCAAAUUUUUUACCAUUCCCACACUUGUCAGAUUACUCAUUUUCUAUGGUUAACUUGAAAAAGCGCUGCAGGUCCUUCACUCAAACUCCAAAACUUGCCAAGAGAAGAAAGAUUAGUCAAAAUGAAAAGCCAAACCCAAUUCAGCCGGUUUGCAGUGCUCCCUGGAUAAGACAGUACUCAUCUGUACUUUCCACCAUGUCAUGUUUACCAGUCUCCAAGGUGGGUUUUACAACAGAGAUGAAUAGUCAAACUGGGGGUAGCAUGUUAGCAGCCCAUAAGUCAUCACUGAAUGAAUCAUCUCUUGUGAAUCAGAUCCCAACGAGGCCUCCCCUAAAAUAUUUUACUCCCAGUACCCACUGUUUGCCUCAUCAAGUUGACCAACAGGACAAUGCUGCAAAGAAACCCUGUGUUAAGCAGUCACAUGAAUUGUCUCCAAUCAAAGAUCCAGUGGAAUCCCGAAUAACCACUUACUCAUCUGAUUUGGAACCUCCUCAGUUGGUUCCUUUUUUCCAUGAAGACCAUCAACUCCAGCGCCAUCGGUUUCAUGAUCCUCCAGAACUGUUACCCUUUUUUAUCCAGACACCUGAAGAUACUUCCCAUACAUCAGUAAGUAAAGCCACAAACAGCUCGUUCCUGUCACACUCCGGAGCCUCUGUUUGCAUUGAAUCAGCUCUCCUCCCUAACCUCACAUGGUCCACAGCCUCCUCUGAGUCGGACUGGGAUUCUGGCCUCUUGUCGUGGUUUACGGCUGGAGUUCCUCUUCAGGCUAAAGGGGGACAUGAUGACCUGGGUCUGUUAUUACAAAAGCCACAUACUGGCAUGCAGGAUGGGAGCUAUACAUCACGGUUGUGCUCCAUACUGCAACCCUCUUGAUUCACAUUAUAAGGAUUGAGUUCCGUUAAUCCGACAACUGCGACUGUUAAUGAAUUAAAUCCUAAAGCAGUUCUUUAUUCUCCUUUUUCAAUAGCAAUCAUUUUUUCAUUUCUACAGUUCGAUUAAGAUGACUACCACCAAAACGUGUGAAAUAAUACUUGAAUUAAUUGUGUUUUUUUUUUUUUGUUUGGUUUUUGUUUUUCAUAAAGAAGAUUUUAUUAUAGGAGUGUGCCUAACUCUGCAGCUAAUGUAUAAAUAGCUUUUUUUGGAUAAUGAAACCAUCUUACAUCAGUAUUGAAUUAUACUCUCCAUUCCACAGUGUUUGCAAUAUCUCACCAAAACCAAGAAAACAAUAAGUCUUAAUUACCAGCUGGCAAGUUUUUUUUUUUCCCCUUUUUCUUCGAGUGACCUCUAUGACUUCUCUUAUGGCUCUCUCUUGCCCUGAGUAUUGGCCAUGACUUUUCAGCAGGAAUAUCCGGGAACAUGGGCUGGUAUUGAGAAUUUAAUGAGGCUUUGCUGGAGGGGCAUUAUCCAAUUAGUUUAAGUGCUGUGUCUGGCAUCUCUCCAGUUUAGAGGCAGUGUCGAUUGUAGAACAAUGCCAUGGUGGUUUUUGGAGAACAUGCAGGAUAGGAUACACUGUGAAGGCAAAAAUGCCCUAUGAAGGUCUUUGAGGUACUUUGAGGUCAUUUUUAAAAGACUUUUCUCAUUUCCUGUAAAUGUGGAUUAGUGGAUGUGGCGGCAUGACUGGAACAGUGGAUAGUGUUUUAAUUAUUUGUUGUCAGUUAAUGUUUUAAGGCAUUUUUAGUGACGUUACUGUGUGCGUUCCUAUUAUAGAAGUUCUGAAAGGAGUAUACAAAGCUUGUACCACAGACAUCCAUGUAAGCAUGAUAAGAAUCUUGUGCUUAAAAGAUUUUCCAUAAACACUGGAAAUUAGCUUUAUCAAGGCCUAAGGACAGUUAAACAUGUUUUAAGACAAAAUCGUGAAUAGAAAGAGUUUUUAUAAAUAAUAAAAAGGUAUUACAUUUUUAUAAUUAUUUUACU
Molecule: long non-coding RNA, 3114 nt
Organism: Cyprinus carpio (common carp)
Lineage: Eukaryota; Metazoa; Chordata; Actinopteri; Cypriniformes; Cyprinidae
Source: Ensembl